This 1981-nucleotide ribosomal RNA is filed under the name human metagenome. Its description in RNAcentral is "bacterial LSU rRNA". It matches the Rfam family "Bacterial large subunit ribosomal RNA", at positions 1 to 1977 of the family's 2925-position model. The record is from RNAcentral.
UUAAGAUACUAAGAGCAUACGGUGGAUGCCUUGGCGAUAUCUGCCGACGAAGGACGUGACAAGCUGCGAAAAGCUGCGGAGAGAUGCAAAUAAUCGGCGACCCGCAGACAUCCGAAUGGAGAAAUCCGGCUGUGAUGAUGCACAGCCAUCCAUGCCCAAGAGCAUGAGAAGGGAACCGGGCGAACUGAAACAUCUAAGUACCCCGAGGAAAAGAAAUCAAACGAGAUACCCCAAGUAGCGGCGAGCGAACAGGGAAGAAGCCCAAACCGGUGAAGGAAACUUUACCGGGGUUGAGGACCAUCAGAACCGCGAAGAACCUUAGCCGAAACUGUUGGGAAACAGUGCCAAAGACAGUGAAAGCCUGGUAGGCGAAAAAGAGAAACGCGGAGAUGGCACCAGAGUACCGCGGGACACGAGAAAUCCCGUGGGAAGCAGGGGGGACCACCCUCCAAGGCAAAACACAGAUAUCGACCGAUAGCGCAUAGUACCAUGAGGGAAAGGUGAAAAGCACCCCGGGAGGGGAAUGAAAGAGAACCUGAAACCGUAUGUUUACAAGCAGUCGGAGACCGCUUAAUAAUAAGGUCGACGGCGUGCCUAUUGAAGAAUGAACCGGCGAGUUACGAAGCCUGGCAAGGUUAAGCAGGAAAUGCGGAGCCGAAGCGAAAGCGAGUCUUAAGAGGGCGCAAGUCAGGAAGCGUAGACCCGAAACCACAGUGAUCUACCCAUGUCCAGGUUGAAACACAGGUAAAAAUGUGUGGAGGACCGAACCUAUAUCCGUUGAAAAGGGUUAGGAUGAGGUGUGGGUAGGGGUGAAAUUCCAAUCGAACGUGGAGAUAGCUGGUUCUCCCCGAAAUAGCUUUAGGGCUAGCCUCAGGGAAAAGAUUGCAGGCGGUAGAGCACUGAUCAGGAGAGGGACCUACCCGGUUACCAAACCCAGUCAAACUCCGAAUGGCUGCAAUCAUACCUGGGAGUCAGACUGCGACUAAUAAGGGCCGCAGUCAAAAGGGAAACAGCCCAGACCAUCAGCUAAGGUCCCCAAUGCCGUGCUAAGUGGCGAAGGAUGUGGCAUUUCAUAAACAACCAGGAUGUUGGCUCAGAAGCAGCCACCAUUUAAAGAGUGCGUAAUAGCUCACUGGUCGAGAGACGCUGCGCCGAAAAUGUCCGGGGCUCAAGCACGGAACCGAAGCUAUGGCAUGAUAGCAAUAUCAUGGGUAGGGGAGCGUUCUUAUAAGGAAGAAGCAUGACCGGAAGGACAUGUGGACAAAUAAGAAGUGAGAAUGCCGGUAUGAGUAUCGAAAAGAAAGGUGAGAAUCCUUUCCACCGAAAGCCCGAGGGUUCCUGAGCAACGAUCGUCGACUCAGGGUAAGUCGGGACCUAAGCCGAGGCGGAAAGCGUAGGCGAUGGACAACAGGUUGAAAUUCCUGUACCGGAUCAAGUCGAUUGAGCGAAGGAGCGACGCAGGAGGGCACAUGAUCGCGCGGCUGGAAGAGCGCGUCCAAGUGCGUAUGUUGCAGCAGAGGAAAACCCCUGCGGCUGAAAGCAGAGACAUGAAGGGGAGUUAAAGGAAACUUUGACGAACUCAUGAAUCCCACACUGCCAAGAAAAACUUCUAGCGAGACAAGAUCCGCCCGUACCGUAAACCGACACAGGUAGGCGGGGAGAGAAUCCUAAGGUGCGCGGGAAAACCCUCGUUAAGGAACUCGGCAAAUUGCAUCCGUAACCUAGGGAGAAGGAUGGCCCCCGGUCAGUGAAGAGCAGAAACGCUCAGAGCUAAAAGGGGCGGCAGAAAAGAGGCCCAAGCAACUGUUUACCAAAAACACAGGUGCCUGCGAAAGCGAAAGCUGAAGUAUAGGUGCUGACGCCUGCCCGGUGCCGGAAGGUUAAGGAGAGAAGUUAGCGAAAGCGAAGCAUCGAACUGAAGCCCCGGUGAACGGCGGCCGUAACUAUAACGGUCCUAAGGUAGCGAAAUUCCUUGUCGGGU